This 217-nucleotide long non-coding RNA is filed under the name Elaeis guineensis (African oil palm). RNAcentral's name for it is "long non-coding RNA (EGUI_LNC017935)". Lineage: Eukaryota; Viridiplantae; Streptophyta; Magnoliopsida; Arecales; Arecaceae. The record is from RNAcentral.
UCGACCUUCCCGAAGGAAUUCAUUCAUAGCCAUCUGAGGGCCUUUGAAAUCAUUAUAUCUUUUUCUUAAACCAUACAUAUACAUAGAAUAAAAUCUCAUACUUCAUAAUCAUUCUAUUUUCAUAAGACAUAUUCAUGAAAUCAAUGCUCAUAAUAAAACAUGCUUUUUCAUAUCACAUAUGCCAAUCUUUAUUUUAUGAAAAAUUAUGAUUUCAUCA